GAACAUAGUGUUUCCCAACGAGAGCCAACGAGAACCCCCCACCAGGCCAAAAAAAUGUAUUUAAAUGCCAAAAAUAACGCCAUUUGAUUCUGAGCAGCGCUGUGCUGAAACGUUCAACUGACCUCAACUCUUGGAUUGGGUGAUGUGGCUCUGCUAAUGAAUGCCUGGGCCUGACUGUCAGCUAGAAAAAGCCAUCCCAUCCCUCAUCACACUGCAUCAGAUCUAACUGUCUGUCAGGGUCUGCUGCAUCUCCUAGGCAACUGGGAGCUCCUCGAUGGCAAACACAGUCAAGAUAUCCAUCUGUGAUUCACUGAUAGAGGAUCGACUUCCCACUACCAGCAUCUCCAAAUCCACCAGGCGGUUUUUAAGCCCCACUCAGCUGACCAGAAAGUCAGACCUCCAUGAAAACAUAUCACCUGGUGAGAAAAGAUGGGCUGGGCUCCAAAAGAACAAAAACGGCCUGCACUGAAAACCUCUCAAUCAAUAAUGUUCCCAACGUUUUCAUUACCUCACCCCUCAGUUUGGCACCAGGACAGAUUCAGUGGCCCAGGAAGUAGAUUAAAACAUUUCUGUGGCCAUUUCUGAGAUUUAAUUUGUUUGAUAAAAAUAUGACUGAUUUAUGUUAUAGCCUGUCCUGUCCUAUGUCUGAAGUUUUCAUACACAGACAACAUUCAAACACUGACUGUUCUCUGUACAAUUAGCAGUUUUUUGUGCUUAAUUUUUCAGCACAAAAUGGUGAAAAGGGUGGCUUUCUAU
This is a long non-coding RNA of Thunnus maccoyii (southern bluefin tuna), 756 nucleotides long. RefSeq lists it as uncharacterized. The record is from RefSeq and is a predicted model, not a curated record. NCBI's taxonomy places the organism in Eukaryota, Metazoa, Chordata, Actinopteri, Scombriformes, Scombridae. The transcript has 3 exons.